CCACGCCGUAAACGAUGAGUGCUAACUGUUAGGGGGUUUCCGCCCCUUAGUGCUGCAGCUAACGCAUUAAGCACUCCGCCUGGGGAGUACGGUCGCAAGACUGAAACUCAAAGGAAUUGACGGGGGCCCGCACAAGCGGUGGAGCAUGUGGUUUAAUUCGAAGCAACGCGAAGAACCUUACCAGGUCUUGACAUCCUCUGACAAUCCUAGAGAUAGGACGUCCCCUUCGGGGGCAGAGUGACAGGUGGUGCAUGGUUGUCGUCAGCUCGUGUCGUGAGAUGUUGGGUUAAGUCCCGCAACGAGCGCAACCCUUGAUCUUAGUUGCCAGCAUUCAGUUGGGCACUCUAAGGUGACUGCCGGUGACAAACCGGAGGAAGGUGGGGAUGACGUCAAAUCAUCAUGCCCCUUAUGACCUGGGCUACACACGUGCUACAAUGGACAGAACAAAGGGCAGCGAAACCGCGAGGUUAAGCCAAUCCCACAAAUCUGUUCUCAGUUCGGAUCGCAGUCUGCAACUCGACUGCGUGAAGCUGGAAUCGCUAGUAAUCGCGGAUCAGCAUGCCCGCGGUGAAUACGUUCCCGGGCCUUGUACACACCGCCCGUCACACCACGAGAGUUUGUAACACCCCGAAGUCGGUGAGGUAACCUUUUAGGAGCCAGCCGCCGAAGGUGGGACAGAUG
Molecule: ribosomal RNA, 681 nt
Filed under: Bacillus sp. NCIM5320
Lineage: Bacteria; Bacillati; Bacillota; Bacilli; Caryophanales; Bacillaceae
Description: bacterial SSU rRNA
Rfam family: Bacterial small subunit ribosomal RNA
Source: RNAcentral